UAGGGAAUCUUCGGCAAUGGACGAAAGUCUGACCGAGCAACGCCGCGUGAGUGAAGAAGGUUUUCGGAUCGUAAAACUCUGUUGUUAGAGAAGAACAAGGACGUUAGUAACUGAACGUCCCCUGACGGUAUCUAACCAGAAAGCCACGGCUAACUACGUGCCAGCAGCCGCGGUAAUACGUAGGUGGCAAGCGUUGUCCGGAUUUAUUGGGCGUAAAGCGAGCGCAGGCGGUUUCUUAAGUCUGAUGUGAAAGCCCCCGGCUCAACCGGGGAGGGUCAUUGGAAACUGGGAGACUUGAAUGCAGAAGAGGAGAGUGGAAUUCCAUGUGUAGCGGUGAAAUGCGUAGAUAUAUGGAGGAACACCAGUGGCGAAGGCGGCUCUCUGGUCUGUAACUGACGCUGAGGCUCGAAAGCGUGAGGAGCAAACAGG
This 429-nucleotide ribosomal RNA is filed under the name Gemmatimonadota bacterium. RNAcentral's name for it is "Gemmatimonadetes bacterium partial 16S ribosomal RNA". It matches the Rfam family "Bacterial small subunit ribosomal RNA", at positions 355 to 776 of the family's 1533-position model. Lineage: Bacteria; Pseudomonadati; Gemmatimonadota. The record is from RNAcentral.